Molecule: ribosomal RNA, 253 nt
Filed under: uncultured bacterium
Lineage: Bacteria
Description: partial 16S ribosomal RNA
Rfam family: Bacterial small subunit ribosomal RNA
Source: RNAcentral
UACGUAGGGGGCGAGCGUUGUCCGGAUUUAUUGGGCGUAAAGAGCGUGUAGGCGGCCAGACAGGUCCGUUGUGAAAACUCGAGGCUCAACCUCGAGACGCCGAUGGAAACCGUCUGGCUAGAGUCCGGAAGAGGAGAGUGGAAUUCCUGGUGUAGCGGUGAAAUGCGCAGAUAUCAGGAAGAACACCCGUGGCUAAGGCGGCUCUCUAGUACGGUACUGACGCUGAGACGCGAAAGCGUGGGGAGCGAACCGG